UGUGUGUUUCUGUCUGAUCCUGUGUAUGUGACUAUCUGCCUGUGACUAUGUGCAUGUGGUGGAUUUGACAGUGUAUAUGUAUAACUGUGUGCAUCUGACUGUGUGCACAUAACUCUGCAAAAAUAUACACCUGCAUUCACACACAGGCCUAAAUGCAUGUUUUUAUCUGAAUUAAAUAACCAUCACACACAGCCAAUAAACCCAGCACAAAUAUCACAUACAACCAAUACACGUAUAUCACACACUGUUAAUACACCCAUUACAAAUAUCACACGCAGCCAACACAUAGCAUACAUAUCACACACAGUCAUCACAUCUAUCACAUACACAGACAACACAAACAUUACAUAAUACAUGGAUGACGGGGGCGUUGUGAAGAUUUU
This is a non-coding RNA of Pelobates cultripes (western spadefoot toad), 383 nucleotides long. The record is from the annotation of a GenBank genome assembly. Lineage: Eukaryota; Metazoa; Chordata; Amphibia; Anura; Pelobatidae.